Molecule: microRNA precursor, 76 nt
Filed under: Myotis davidii
Lineage: Eukaryota; Metazoa; Chordata; Mammalia; Chiroptera; Vespertilionidae
Description: mir-9229 microRNA precursor family
Rfam family: mir-9229 microRNA precursor family
Source: Rfam by way of RNAcentral
GAAACAUCCCUAUGGAGCAGGACUUGCUUCAGUGGGAUUUUGUUGCUCACUGUGUCUGCCCCUUGAGUGUGUUGUU